This 1448-nucleotide ribosomal RNA is filed under the name uncultured bacterium. RNAcentral's name for it is "bacterial SSU rRNA". It matches the Rfam family "Bacterial small subunit ribosomal RNA". The record is from RNAcentral.
GAACGCUAGCGGCAGGCUUAACACAUGCAAGUCGAGGGGCAGCGGGGAGGAAGCUUGCUUUGCUCCGCCGGCGACCGGCGCACGGGUGAGUAACACGUAUGCAACCUGCCCCUGUCAGGGGGACAACCCGCCGAAAGGCGGGCUAAACCCGCGUACAUGCCACCGGGGCAUCCCGGAGGCAGGAAAGGCUUCGGCCGGACAGGGAUGGGCAUGCGGCGCAUUAGGCAGUAGGCGGGGUAACGGCCCACCUAACCGACGAUGCGUAGGGGUUCUGAGAGGAAGGUCCCCCACACUGGUACUGAGACACGGACCAGACUCCUACGGGAGGCAGCAGUGAGGAAUAUUGGUCAAUGGUCGGGAGACUGAACCAGCCAAGCCGCGUGAGGGAGGAAGGUACAGAGUAUCGUAAACCUCUUUUGUCAGGGAACAAAGACUGGGACGCGUCCCCGGAUGAGUGUACCUGAAGAAAAAGCAUCGGCUAACUCCGUGCCAGCAGCCGCGGUAAUACGGAGGAUGCGAGCGUUAUCCGGAUUUAUUGGGUUUAAAGGGUGCGCAGGCGGUCUGUUAAGUCAGCGGUCAAAGCCCGGGGCUCAACCCCGGCCCGCCGUUGAAACUGGCAGUCUCGAGUUGGAGAGAAGUAUGCGGAAUGCGCGGUGUAGCGGUGAAAUGCAUAGAUAUCGCGCAGAACUCCGAUUGCGAAGGCAGCAUGCCGGCUCCACACUGACGCUGAGGCACGAAAGCGUGGGUAUCGAACAGGAUUAGAUACCCUGGUAGUCCACGCAGUAAACGAUGAAUGCUGGCUGUCCGGGGGGACUGACCCCUGGGUGGCGAAGCGAAAGCGAUAAGCAUUCCACCUGGGGAGUACGCCGGCAACGGUGAAACUCAAAGGAAUUGACGGGGGCCCGCACAAGCGGAGGAACAUGUGGUUUAAUUCGAUGAUACGCGAGGAACCUUACCCGGGCUCAAACGGGGAGUGGCGCAGGCAGAGACGCCUGUUUCCCACGGGACACUCCCCGAGGUGCUGCAUGGUUGUCGUCAGCUCGUGCCGUGAGGUGUCGGCUUAAGUGCCAUAACGAGCGCAACCCCCGCGUGCAGUUGCUAACAGUCAACGCUGAGGACUCUGCACGGACUGCCGGCGCAAGCCGCGAGGAAGGCGGGGAUGACGUCAAAUCAGCACGGCCCUUACGUCCGGGGCGACACACGUGUUACAAUGGGUGGUACAGCGGGAAGCCAGGCGGCGACGCCGAGCGGAACCCGAAAUCCACUCUCAGUUCGGAUCGGAGUCUGCAACCCGACUCCGUGAAGCUGGAUUCGCUAGUAAUCGCGCAUCAGCCAUGGCGCGGUGAAUACGUUCCCGGGCCUUGUACACACCGCCCGUCAAGCCAUGGGAGCCGAGGGCGCUUGAAGUGCGUCGCCGCGAGGCGCGCCCUAGAGCGAAAUCGGUGACU